This 812-nucleotide ribosomal RNA is filed under the name uncultured Pseudomonadota bacterium. RNAcentral's name for it is "bacterial SSU rRNA". It matches the Rfam family "Bacterial small subunit ribosomal RNA", at positions 74 to 914 of the family's 1533-position model. The record is from RNAcentral. Lineage: Bacteria; Pseudomonadati; Pseudomonadota.
AGUAAUUUAUUACUUGCUGACGAGCGGCGGACGGCUGAGUAACGCGUGGGAACAUGCCCCAAAGUGAGGAAUAACUGCCCGAAAGGGUAGCUAAUGCCGCAUAUGAUCUUCGGAUUAAAGGAUUUAUCCGCUUUGGGAGUGGCCCGCGUACGAUUAGGUAGUUGGUGAGGUAAUGGCUCACCAAGCCUACGAUCGUUAACUGGUCUGAGAGGAUGAUCAGUCAGACUGGAACUGAGACACGGUCCAGACUCCUACGGGAGGCAGCAGUGAGGAAUCUUCCACAAUGGGCGAAAGCCUGAUGGAGCGACGCCGCGUGCAGGAUGAAGGCCCUCGGGUUGUAAACUGCUUUUAUAAGUGAAGAAUAUGACGGUAACUUAUGAAUAAGCACCGGCUAACUACGUGCCAGCAGCCGCGGUCAUACGUAGGGUGCAAGCAUUAUCCGGAGUGACUGGGCGUAAAGAGUUGCGUAGGUGGUUUGUUAAGUGAAUAGUAAAAUCUGGCGGCUCAACCGUACAGGCUAUUAUUCAAACUGGCAAACUCGAGAAUGGUAGAGGUAACUGGAAUUUCUUGUGUAGGAGUGAAAUCCGUAGAUAUAAGAAGGAACACCAAUGGCGUAGGCAGGUUACUGGACCAUUUCUGACACUGAGGCACGAAAGCGUGGGGAGCGAACGGGAUUAGAUACCCCGGUAGUCCACGCCGUAAACGAUGGAUACUAGCUGUUGGAGGUAUCGACCCCUCCAGUAGCGAAGCUAACGCGUUAAGUAUCCCGCCUGUGGAGUACGGUCGCAAGACUAAAACAUAAAGGAAUUGAC